Molecule: long non-coding RNA, 347 nt
Organism: Myodes glareolus (Bank vole)
Lineage: Eukaryota; Metazoa; Chordata; Mammalia; Rodentia; Cricetidae
Source: RefSeq, a predicted model, not a curated record
UGGUGAAGGCCUCUGCUUCAGUUAUGUAAGCAAAUGACAAUGUGGAGAGAGGGAGGAGACUCCAGCUGGGGAAGCUACCUGAACGCGGUGGAGCGAGAAGCUGCAGGCUGCAGCUUCCAAGUGGACUGGGGAAACCUCAGAGGCAUGCAUACUCCUGUAUCAAAAUAGUGACGCUGUCUUGUUUGGAGCUUCCACUCACUUAAUUGACUUCCAAACUUUCUCUCAGGCUGUGUGUGUCUUUACAAACUUGCAGACAAAGAAAGGUGUAUCUUAUUUUUAAAUCCAAUAUAAUCAUUGAGCCUUCAUCCAGCAACCAAUGGAAACAGAGGCAGAGACCCACAGCGGAG